RNA transcript from Ooceraea biroi (clonal raider ant), 4468 nucleotides. It is a transcript of the gene named aminopeptidase N, with no coding region annotated. NCBI's taxonomy places the organism in Eukaryota, Metazoa, Arthropoda, Insecta, Hymenoptera, Formicidae. The record is from RefSeq and is a predicted model, not a curated record.
CGUACAUAUAUAUAUAUCACUAGCGGAACCGAACAUACCCGAACAGCCGAAGUUACACGAAGUGCCAGUGCUCUCCCCUUACCGCUAAUCUCAGCUUCCCCUCGUAAAAGGCUCCGUCCAUAUAUUCCUAUGUCAAUGAUUUCACCACGAUGAUAGCGCAGUGACAUGUUUUCAGUGUAAAGAACUGUUUUAGCGGUAAUAACAAAUAAGUAUAUAGAUCUUCCUUUAUACAUUAAAAUCGCUACGCUUCAAAAUGCAGACAAUAUUUAAAAGGAGACUCGACAUCCUAUUCCUUCAAGUAGUUUUAAGUGGUAUUAUAUUCACUACUGUGAUAACAUCUAUACAAGCGGAACAUCGAAUCGAAAAUAAAACAAGAAAACUUGGUUAUCGUUUACCAAACGAUGUAGUGCCACAACACUAUAUAUCAAAAUAAUGUUUUCUCAAAGGAUGCUCUAUUUUGAAGCCGAAUGCAAAAUUGUUAUUUAAAUUCAAAGUUCAACAUCAAAUAUAAGUUUACACAGUCACGACACAAUCAAACUUGAGAAAGACAAAAUAAAAUUGAUUAUGCAGAAUGGUAAGGCGUAUGAACGCAUUAAUAGUACGUACUACAGUCACGAGAACAUUCUAGACCUCUAUUUCGAACACCAGCUAUUUCCUGGAACUUACACUCUGUUUAUACCCUACGAGAUAUAUACUCAUCUUGAUGAAGAGGAGGAGGAACUAGGUUUUUUAAAAUGUUUAUUUCAGCAUAAUCCACGACUGAAACAGUGAGUUAACAUUUAAUGAGUACUCCUACACUGAGAUCAAUUUUCAUCGAAUACAUCGAUUAAAUAGUUUUCCGAUUGUUAUUUUUGUUUUCCGAUUAAAUGAUGGAUGUGUUCGAUCAUUUUCUUUGUCUUUUAUACAAUUUAAUCGGAUAUCCGUUUGUUACUAUAAAAUAUAAUAUCUUAAUAUUCAUUAAUAUAAAAUACACAUUAAUAUACAAUAAUAAUUAUUAUGUAUUAUAUAUUAUAGGGAGACAAAUAAUUUUGAGCGACCGUCUAAUGGGAUAAUACGCGAUAACAUUAAUAUGUUAAAUAUUAGACACUCCUUUCAAAUUACUAUCUAGAAUAACACGUAAUAAUAAGCUAAACGGUGUCCUAUAAAUAAAGCACUAUAUGCUUGCUCAACUUGAUAAUUGAUACUAUUCAAAACAAUAUUUUGACAAUUCGUAUUAUAUGAGGAUUGUCCUUAAAACAGGUAUAAAGUGUUGGCAACAAAUAUUCAAUCUAUUGAAGCUCGAAAAUGGUUUCCGUGUUGGGACGAGCCGGAAUUUAAAACAACAUUUCAAAUUCAUUUCCAUCAUAACGUAAAGUAAACUAUCAGAUAUGGGCAACCUUGUCAACUGAAAGAUAUACACUAGAUGAUAAUAAACAAAACUGGAUGUGGACAAAUUUUAACAUUUCAUACCCAAUAUCAACUUAUCAAGUGAUGUUUACACUAACUGAUUUAGAUCUUGAAUAUCACAAGGUUGUGUAUCAUCCUACAAUGGAACUUUUGAACACAAAUCUGUUUUGUCCGAUAUGGAGUAGAUCUAAGGUGGAAAAGUUUAUUAAACCCUCAGGUGUUAUGAGUGAGUAUAUUCUACAUUCUGACUGGUACCGCAAAAUUUCUAAAACUGUCACGUGUAUAGAGCAACUUGCAAUUCCGACUAUGCCAGUGGAUGUCAUGGCAAAAUGGAGGCUCAUUCUUUAUAAAGAAUCGCUUGUCACUUAUAAUGAAGAAACAGAUAGCAGUGCUCAGGAAAGAGAGCUAGCACACACAGUAGCACAUGGAAUGGUACAUCAGGUGAUAGAUAGUGCAAUCACACCAUCGUGGUGGUCUCACUUAUGGUUGAAUGAAGGGUUUGCCGCUCUUCUUCAUGUGGAAAUUCUGGAUGAGAUUUUUCUGAAAUGGAAAUUUGUGGAUUUGUUCGUGGUUCAAGUUCAGCAAGACUGUCUUCAUCUCGAUACAGAUUUCACUAUGAAACCUCUUUCGUAUGAAGUCCGAACACCAUCAGAAAUUAAAUCACUUUUCUCUUUCCCAAUUUAUAUCAAAGCACCUGUCAUAUUGCUCAUGAUACAACAUAUUAUGGGCAAGGAGUUUCAAGAUAUUAUCAAGAAUUACACGAACACUUACUUUCGUAAGUCUCCUACGCCCGAUGAUUUAUGGAAUAUGAUGCAAGUUAACUUAGAUAAUCCAGAACUAGGUAAUCCUACCAUGAAAGAUAUAAUGGAGAACUGGGUAAGAGAAAAUAAUUAUCCUAUUGUAAAUGUUCGUCGAACUGAACUUACGCUGGAAAUAUCUCAAGAUGAAUGCAUCAAUGAACACUAUCAGCAAAAAGCACUUCAAUGGAUACCUAUCACUUUCACUACAUGGGAACAGUUAGACUUCGAUAAUACGACUCCUCAUCACUGGAUACCUCCAAAGGAUAGCACAAAGUAUAAUAUAUCUAUCUCACUUACUAAUAAGAAUGGAUGGAUCAUACUAAAUUUACAACAAACAGGAUACUAUCGUGUAAAGUACGAUAACAAGAGCUUAAAUGCAAUUACAUACUAUUUAAGGUUUUUGAAAUAUAUUGAUAUUCAUGUUCUUAAUCGCGCUCAACUCAUUGAUGAUACAUAUUAUUUCUUGAAGAGAGGAGAAGUUACAUAUGACAGGUUUUUACGUCUCAUAAACUAUUUGCGCGAAGAGAGGGAUUAAGUAGCAUGGUAUCCAAUGUUUCAAAUUUUUAGAGACAUCGCAUUUCUUACCAUUUGAAGAGAGCAAAACUUUAAAGUGUUUGGAUAUUACAUGAAUAAUUAAUAUCAAGAGAAUAUCGAAAUAUAUGCAUUAAUAUCAAUUACAAUGUGCAAAAACCGUAAGUAAAACUAACAGUGCAGAAAAUGUGUAACGUUAAUACGUACCUGUUUUAUACGUGUUACAUACAUAGAUUAAAACAUGUCGUAAAAUUAUAAAUGAUGUAGGAAGAUAUUUGUGUCAUACAUGUAUAGCCUGUAUGCUGUAUAUGGAAUAUACUACCAAUUCAACUGAACAAAUGCAAAAAAGUUUGGAGUUAUAUAUUGUUUAUUGAAAUAAUAAAGGAUUAAUAACUUUCCAUAUUUACUUUUAUAAAGAACAAAACAUUUAUAUGAUGGUCAUAUCAUUUUUAACAACUUUUAUAGGAAGAUAUGCGGUUGAUUUUGAAAGGUUUGCUCGAAAACAUAUACAAAGAAAAGUCCCAGGAAGACGAUCUUACUAAGUGGUUGGCCAAGAGGCUGUAAGAUGGGCAUGUAUUUUUGGUAAUACAGAGUGUCAAGAAAUUGCGAAUGCUAGAUUGAAGGAAUACCUACAAGAUUCCUACAUAAUGCAGCACAAGUAAUUCCUGCAAUUACAUUCUUUCUGUGGUGGUAUUUCUCUUGUAUAAUACAUGAAAUUCGAGACAAUUAAUAGUCGCAAAUGCGGAAGUUUUUGAAAAAAGCAUUAACUGUUUGUUAAAUCGUAUAUGUAUAAUGAUUAUAUUAUGGUUUGUGCAAAAUUUUCUACAGAUUUUCGCCGGAAUGGAGAGAAUGGGCGUAUUGUAAAGGUGCGAUGAUAGCGAAUGCGAGUCUUUUGUAGAAAUUGGUGGAAUUGUUAUACACAAAUAAACCUAAAAACUUUAAUUAUAUUUCGUGUGCUGCAAAAUCCGAUGCUGCUAUAUACAUUUUGUUUAAUUUUUAUCUUGGCAAGAAAGACAGCAGUUCCAAUCUUUUUCCUUAUUUCAUGUUUGAUGUUUAUGCAGUAAGACUUAUAGGCAUCCGUGCGACACUAUAUUUUGACACGCACAAGUAAUAAAAUUAUUUUUAUAAAUUGCUCUUUCAAAAGUAUUGUAAGUUUCUUUACCAGUAUAAUAUAACUUCGAAUCUAUUAAUUCAGUCGUUUGCAGUGUUUCAGAUUCCGACAAAGUCAAACUAUUAUGUAUUAUUAUAAAUCGUUCAUUUUCUAAAGAUGAAAUUUAUGAGAUACGAAUACGCACAGUAUAAAAAGUAAUGUCUUGUUAUCGUACUUGUAUUAAAAAUGUUAGUUAUGACUGGAUUUUGGCACAAACUGGUGUACAAAAUUUGUUGAUAUUGUGGUAGUUCGUUACUUGUAACUAUUUCUUUACAUAAAAAUUUUUAUUUAGAACAUGAAAUUUGUUUUAGAUAAGCAAAAUCAAGAAUGAUUAUUUUAAAGACUCAGAAAUAGAUGAAAAUCUUAAUAGCGUUGUCGAAAGACGCAUCCGUCAAAUCAAGUACCAAAAAGAGAGAGUUAUAAAUUUAAUAGACAAACUAAUUGCUUAAAUAUGUCAGGGAGAGAUAAAGCAAUGUGUUUAUGCAAUUGUAUUAUAAAAAUGUUGAGGCAUUUGCUUAUAAUUAGAUAGUGUUUAACGAAUUUAUUUAAUAUGAAUUAUUCAAUGUGUUUACUUGUGUACAUUAAAUUUAUAUUUUAAUAC